GCGCCUAUAGCUCAAUUGGAUAGAGCAUCGGACUUCGGAUCCGAGGGUUGAGGGUUCAACUCCCCCUAGGCGCG
This 74-nucleotide transfer RNA is filed under the name Candidatus Zixiibacteriota bacterium. Its description in RNAcentral is "tRNA-Arg". It matches the Rfam family "tRNA". Rfam says of the family: Transfer RNA (tRNA) molecules are approximately 80 nucleotides in length. Their secondary structure includes four short double-helical elements and three loops (D, anti-codon, and T loops). Further hydrogen bonds mediate the characteristic L-shaped molecular structure. tRNAs have two regions of fundamental functional importance: the anti-codon, which is responsible for specific mRNA codon recognition, and the 3' end, to which the tRNAs corresponding amino acid is attached (by aminoacyl-tRNA synthetases). tRNAs cope with the degeneracy of the genetic code in two manners: having more than one tRNA (with a specific anti-codon) for a particular amino acid; and 'wobble' base-pairing, i.e. permitting non-standard base-pairing at the 3rd anti-codon position. The record is from RNAcentral. Lineage: Bacteria; Pseudomonadati; Candidatus Zixiibacteriota. RNAcentral also lists the same sequence under 2 other names.